This 253-nucleotide ribosomal RNA is filed under the name uncultured bacterium. RNAcentral describes it as "partial 16S ribosomal RNA". It matches the Rfam family "Bacterial small subunit ribosomal RNA", at positions 524 to 776 of the family's 1533-position model. The record is from RNAcentral.
UACGGGGGGAGCGAGCGUUGCCCGGAUUUAUUGGGCGUAAAGGGCGCGUAGGCGGCUCGGCACGUCCGUUGUGAAAUCGCCCGGCUCAACUGGGCGGGGUCAGCGGAUACGGUCGAGCUUGAGCAAGCUAGGGGGUAAUGGAAUUCCCGGUGUAGUGGUGGAAUGCGUAGAUAUCGGGAGGAACACCAGUGGCGAAGGCGGUUACCUGGGGCUUUGCUGACGCUGAUGCGCGAAAGCGUGGGGAGCGAUCCGG